Long non-coding RNA from Callorhinus ursinus (northern fur seal), 530 nucleotides. RefSeq lists it as uncharacterized. Lineage: Eukaryota; Metazoa; Chordata; Mammalia; Carnivora; Otariidae. The record is from RefSeq and is a predicted model, not a curated record.
CGUAGCCGCUCCGGCGCCAUGUUCGCCUUUUGGCGCCACGGCAGCGACUCCGCCCCUUCCCGGGUGAGAAAACAACGCAAAGACGGUAGAUGCUUCCCUCAAGAUGAAACAUUCGUAAGCUCCAUGGCCAGCAUGGAGACCAAUGCAGGGCUUGAAGUCAGGACCCUGAGAUCGAGAGUCAGAGGCUUAACCAACAGAGCCACCCAAGAGCCCCAAAAUGUCUAACUGUAAAGGACAGGAUGGGAUAAGGAUGGAAGUGAGACUUUCUUCCCAGUAAGACUUUCAACCAUAGACCCAUUUAUAUGUUUUACAUAUUCAAAAAAUAGAAAAGAAAAAAGUAAACUCAAAAUUGAAAGCACACCCAAACACCUAUCUGUACAUUAAAUUGGAAAUAUAACAUCAUAGAGAAAACGGAUUACUGAACACAGUUCUCUGUAUACUUUCAGUGAAAUAUAUUCAGAGGACAAAAGCAUUGCAAAGAAAAUUUGAACGUUUAUGUAAGAAAGGUGAAGAAAUAAAAAUAGAGAAAC